GAAUCACAUUGCUGAAGCAGUGAAUUCAUCUUAAAUGCCAUCCUCAAGAUAACAUUCUGUAGCUCAAAUGGCAGUGCCCAGUGCUUUAAUUAUUUCACUUUAGAGUGAGAGCCAUGCUGUUCUUACACACUAGGAGAGAAAUGAAUUCUGCACUUGAGUAAGUCCGGUACAAGUUUGGGAACUACUGAGUGAAAGCCAAUGCAUCAAUGCCUCUCUGACACUGAAGAAGAGAGCCCAGCCUUAAUCAGAUUCAAUAAGGAAUUUUCAGCCUAUCCUAAGCCAGGAUAUUUUCGAAGAGAGAUUUUCGCGUCUUUCUUUGGGGAGCGAUGGAGAGAGAGGACGCAAAUGGAGAGAGUUGGAAGACCACCAGAUGGAGUGGACUGAGGAGUGAGGGUCCGAGGGCCGGCUACGCUUGGAGGUCAGCGACGCUCGGAGGAGGUUGAUGGUUGAUGAAUAGGCGUAUCAGUGAGCU
This is a long non-coding RNA of Mobula hypostoma (lesser devil ray), 472 nucleotides long. RefSeq lists it as uncharacterized. The transcript is spliced from 3 exons. NCBI's taxonomy places the organism in Eukaryota, Metazoa, Chordata, Chondrichthyes, Myliobatiformes, Myliobatidae. The record is from RefSeq and is a predicted model, not a curated record.